UUCGGGGACAUUCCUUGCCCUCUCUGGCCCGACAGAGACUGACUAGCCCCUCCCCCUUGCUGGCGGGAAAGCAUGGUGUGUGCUCCUCUUUUGGAGCUGAUGAGCCCUAGAACUGGGAACCCUUUCUCUGCCUUCUGGUGGCACUUUGGUCUGUUCUUCACUGUCGGGAAACAAGAAGAGCGCCCCUGGACCUAACACCCCCACUCCGGAUCUUCCCACCCGGGUCUCAGGCAUCACAGUCUAUCUCAAGAAGAA
Mustela erminea (ermine) is the source of this 255-nucleotide long non-coding RNA. RefSeq lists it as uncharacterized. Lineage: Eukaryota; Metazoa; Chordata; Mammalia; Carnivora; Mustelidae. The record is from RefSeq and is a predicted model, not a curated record. The transcript has 3 exons.